UUUAUGGAGAGUUUGAUCCUGGCUCAGGACGAACGCUGGCGGCGUGCCUAAUACAUGCAAGUCGAGCGAACAGAAAAGGAGCUUGCUCCUUUGACGUUAGCGGCGGACGGGUGAGUAACACGUGGGCAACCUACCUUAUAGUUUGGGAUAACUCCGGGAAACCGGGGCUAAUACCGAAUAAUCUAUUUUACUUCAUGGUGAAAUACUGAAAGACGGUUUCGGCUGUCGCUAUAAGAUGGGCCCGCGGCGCAUUAGCUAGUUGGUGAGGUAACGGCUCACCAAGGCGACGAUGCGUAGCCGACCUGAGAGGGUGAUCGGCCACACUGGGACUGAGACACGGCCCAGACUCCUACGGGAGGCAGCAGUAGGGAAUCUUCCACAAUGGGCGAAAGCCUGAU
This 398-nucleotide ribosomal RNA is filed under the name Lysinibacillus xylanilyticus. Its description in RNAcentral is "bacterial SSU rRNA". It matches the Rfam family "Bacterial small subunit ribosomal RNA", at positions 1 to 387 of the family's 1533-position model. The record is from RNAcentral. Lineage: Bacteria; Bacillati; Bacillota; Bacilli; Caryophanales; Bacillaceae.